This is a long non-coding RNA of Aricia agestis (brown argus), 272 nucleotides long. RefSeq lists it as uncharacterized. NCBI's taxonomy places the organism in Eukaryota, Metazoa, Arthropoda, Insecta, Lepidoptera, Lycaenidae. The transcript has 2 exons. The record is from RefSeq and is a predicted model, not a curated record.
AAAGAGAGCGGGAAGCAAAUUAAUAUGCAGAUCCCAUGAGAAGGAGGCACGGAGGGCGUAGACUACACGGCACCCGGUGCGACCGCUGCAAGAUAAAGGCAUACUACUAGCAGAGGCUGAAGAAAAGAUACUGAGCUGACCUUCUCUUGUUUUUCGACCAAUCAUUAUUCGACUAUUAACGGAAGCUGUGGGGAAUCAAACAAGAAAGAUAAAAAAUUCAGCGAACCUCUCCUUGGACCAGCGAAGCCGUAUUCUAUCUACCAUAAAAUAUG